This 474-nucleotide ribosomal RNA is filed under the name Macrodon atricauda (southern king weakfish). RNAcentral describes it as "partial 16S ribosomal RNA". It matches the Rfam family "Bacterial large subunit ribosomal RNA", at positions 1924 to 2551 of the family's 2925-position model. Lineage: Eukaryota; Metazoa; Chordata; Actinopteri; Sciaenidae. The record is from RNAcentral.
UUAACGGCCGCGGUAUUUUGACCGUGCGAAGGUAGCGCAAUCACUUGUCUUUUAAAUGAGGACCCGUAUGAAUGGCAAAACGAGGGCUUAGCUGUCUCCUUUUUCAAGUCAAUGAACUUGAUCUCCCCGUGCAGAAGCGGGGCUUGAACCAUAAGACGAGAAGACCCUGUGGAGCUUUAGACACUAAGAUAGACCAUGUCACAAACCCCUAAAUUAAAGGACUGAACUGUAUGGACCCUGUCCUAAUGUCUUUGGUUGGGGCGACCACGGGGAAACACAAAACCCCCGAGUGGAAUGGGAGCACCCUCCUACAACUGAGAGCUUCCGCUCUAGUAAACAAAAUUUUUGACCAACAAGAUCCGGCAACGCCGAUUGACGAACCAAGUUACCCCAGGGAUAACAGCGCAAUCCUCUUUUAGAGUCCAUAUCGACAAGAGGGUUUACGACCUCGAUGUUGGAUCAGGACAUCCUAAU